AAAAAGGCCCUUUUCAGGGCCACCAUUAUUUAAUUAUUGUUCUCAG
RNAcentral lists this non-coding RNA (46 nucleotides) under Cinara cedri. It matches the Rfam family "Histone 3' UTR stem-loop". From Rfam's summary of the family: The mRNAs of metazoan histone genes lack a poly-A tail. 3' end processing occurs at a site between a highly conserved stem-loop (modelled by this family) and a purine rich region around 20 nts downstream (the histone downstream element, or HDE). The stem-loop is bound by a 31 kDa stem-loop binding protein (SLBP - also termed the histone hairpin binding protein, or HBP). The record is from RNAcentral. Lineage: Eukaryota; Metazoa; Arthropoda; Insecta; Hemiptera; Aphididae.